RNAcentral lists this ribosomal RNA (253 nucleotides) under uncultured bacterium. RNAcentral's name for it is "partial 16S ribosomal RNA". It matches the Rfam family "Bacterial small subunit ribosomal RNA", at positions 524 to 776 of the family's 1533-position model. The record is from RNAcentral.
UACAGAGGUCCCAAGCGUUGUUCGGAUUCAUUGGGCGUAAAGGGUGCGUAGGCGGCGCGGUAAGUCGGGUGUGAAAUCUCGGAGCUUAACUCCGAAACUGCAUUCGAUACUGCCGUGCUUGAGGACUGGAGAGGAGACUGGAAUUUACGGUGUAGCGGUGAAAUGCGUAGAUAUCUGGAGGAACACCGGUGGCGAAGGCGGCCUGCUGGGCAGUUGCUGACACUGAGGCGCGACAGCGUGGGGAGCAAACAGG